GACGAACGCUGGCGGCGUGCUUAACACAUGCAAGUCGAACGGAAAGGCCCUGCUUUUGUGGGGUGCUCGAGUGGCGAACGGGUGAGUAACACGUGAGUAACCUGCCCCUGACUUUGGGAUAACUUCAGGAAACUGGGGCUAAUACCGGAUAGGAGCUCCUGCUGCAUGGUGGGGGUUGGAAAGUUUCGGCGGUUGGGGAUAGACUCGCGGCUUAUCAGCUUGUUGGUGGGGUAGUGGCUUACCAAGGCUUUGACGGGUAGCCGGCCUGAGAGGGUGACCGGCCACAUUGGGACUGAGAGACGGCCCAGACUCGUACGGGAGGCAGCAGUGGGGAAUAUUGCAGAAUGGGCGGAAGCCUGAUGCAGCAACGCCGCGUGCGGGAUGACGGCCUUCGGGUUGUAAACCGCUUUCGCAUGUGACGAGGCGUGAGUGACGGUAAUGGGUAAAGAAGCACCGGCUAACUACGUG
Molecule: ribosomal RNA, 468 nt
Filed under: uncultured bacterium
Lineage: Bacteria
Description: partial 16S ribosomal RNA
Rfam family: Bacterial small subunit ribosomal RNA
Source: RNAcentral